UACACAAAUCCNAUGAAGCCGGACUGGGAUAGGGCCUCGCUGCCUUGCCCGUCUGGCGCCAUAUUCACCCAUGUCUUUUUGCGUACUACUUGUUUCCUUGGCGGGUCCGCCCGCCAAUUGGACCUUAUUCAAACCUUUUUUUCAGUUGCAAUCAGCGUCAGCAAAACAAAUGUAAUCAAUUACAACUUUCAACAACGGAUCUCUUGGUUCUGGCAUCGAUGAAGAACGCAGCGAAAUGCGAUAAGUAGUGUGAAUUGCAGAAUUCAGUGAAUCAUCGAAUCUUUGAACGCACAUUGCGCCCUUUGGUAUUCCAAAGCAUGCCUGUUCGAGCGUCAUUUGUACCCUCAAGCUUUGCUUGGUGUUGGGCGUCUUGUCUCUCUCCCGAGACUCGCCUUAAAAUCAUUGGCAGCCGGCCUACUGGUUUCGGAGCGCAGCACAUUAUUUGCGCUCUUGUCCAGCCGCGGUCGCGCGUCCAUGAAGCUUCUUUCAACCUUUUGACCU
RNAcentral lists this ribosomal RNA (501 nucleotides) under Pyrenophora tritici-repentis. RNAcentral describes it as "eukaryotic LSU rRNA". The stretch from base 184 to 335 matches the Rfam family "5.8S ribosomal RNA". Lineage: Eukaryota; Fungi; Ascomycota; Dothideomycetes; Pleosporales; Pleosporaceae. The record is from RNAcentral.